GUAAAUAUAGUUUAAUAAAAACAUUAGAUUGUGAAUCUAAUAGUAGAAAUUCAAAACUUAUUUACU
This 66-nucleotide transfer RNA is filed under the name Canis lupus familiaris (dog). It matches the Rfam family "tRNA". Rfam says of the family: Transfer RNA (tRNA) molecules are approximately 80 nucleotides in length. Their secondary structure includes four short double-helical elements and three loops (D, anti-codon, and T loops). Further hydrogen bonds mediate the characteristic L-shaped molecular structure. tRNAs have two regions of fundamental functional importance: the anti-codon, which is responsible for specific mRNA codon recognition, and the 3' end, to which the tRNAs corresponding amino acid is attached (by aminoacyl-tRNA synthetases). tRNAs cope with the degeneracy of the genetic code in two manners: having more than one tRNA (with a specific anti-codon) for a particular amino acid; and 'wobble' base-pairing, i.e. permitting non-standard base-pairing at the 3rd anti-codon position. The record is from Rfam by way of RNAcentral. RNAcentral also lists the same sequence under 3 other names. Lineage: Eukaryota; Metazoa; Chordata; Mammalia; Carnivora; Canidae.